This 243-nucleotide ribosomal RNA is filed under the name Triticum aestivum (bread wheat). RNAcentral's name for it is "partial small subunit ribosomal RNA". Lineage: Eukaryota; Viridiplantae; Streptophyta; Magnoliopsida; Poales; Poaceae. The record is from RNAcentral.
AUGUGUGUUCCAAAAAAUAAUGGUGGCAUGGGUUUCCGGGAUAUAAACAGUUUCAAUUUGGCUAUGCUUGCAAAACAGUGCUGGAGGUUGAUUGACCAGUAUGACUCUCUAUGUGCCAAGGUCCUUAGAACAAACUAUUAUCCUAGUGGAGACAUUCUUAAUUGUGAUUUGAAGAAGGGUUCCUCAUAUGUAUGGCAGAGUAUUUGGGCAGGAAUCCAAACCUUCAAGAAAGGUUGUAUCUAG